UCCUACGGGGGGCAGCAGUGGGGAAUAUUGUACAAUGGGGGAAACCCUGAUGCAGCAACGCCGCGUGGGUGAAGGAGCGUUUCGGCGCGUAAAGCCCUGUCAGCGGGGAAGAAGAAAGACGGUACCCGACCAAGAAGCCCCGGCUAACUACGUGCCAGCAGCCGCGGUAAUACGUAGGUGGCAAGCGUUGUCCGGAAUUACUGGGUGUAAAGGGAGCGUAGGCGGGAAAGCAAGUUGAAUGUUUAAGGUACGGGCUCAACCUGUACAAGCGUUCAAAACUGUUUUUCUUGAGUGGAGUAGAGGUA
This 305-nucleotide ribosomal RNA is filed under the name uncultured bacterium. Its description in RNAcentral is "bacterial SSU rRNA". It matches the Rfam family "Bacterial small subunit ribosomal RNA", at positions 337 to 659 of the family's 1533-position model. The record is from RNAcentral.